UAUAUAUGCAAAGUCCGCUCAACGCGCUUCGCACAUCUUCCCGCGCUCUCUCUCUCUCUCUCUAGUAGGGAUGUCAAUGGGUAUGGAUACUCGAAAUUUUAUCCGAAUUCGAACCCGAAUAAAGCAGAUAUAUCCGAUGAAUAUGGAUAUAGAUUUGGAUAUGGAUAUAAAAAAUAAAAAUCCGACGAAUAUGGAUUCGGAUAUGGAUUUUGAUUGUACCCGACCCGAACCCGACCCAAACCCGAAUUUAUUUUGUAUUAUAUAUAAUAUAUAUAUAAAAAUUUGAUGUUAUAUUUGAAUUUGUAUUUUAUAAAUUUAAAUUUAAUAUAAUAUAUUUUGAAAUAUUGAAAAAAAAAUUUAUUUCGGGUUCAAAUUUUCGGAUUCGGGUUCGGGUUCGGGUUUGGAUUUCGAAUUUUUGGUCGGGUUUGGGUUUGGGUUUGGAUAUGGAUUUUUAAAAUCCGUCAGGUUCGGGUUCGGAUUCGGGUCUCGGGUUUGGAGUCGGGUUCGGGUUUGGGUUUUUAAAAAUCCGCCCCGAAUCCGACCCGUUGACAUCUCUACUCUCAAGCCCCACCCUCCAGAACGUUC
This 585-nucleotide long non-coding RNA is filed under the name Ananas comosus (pineapple). RNAcentral's name for it is "long non-coding RNA (ACOM_LNC018162)". Lineage: Eukaryota; Viridiplantae; Streptophyta; Magnoliopsida; Poales; Bromeliaceae. The record is from RNAcentral.